AAAUCAGUUGAGUAGCCUUGAUCUUGAUAGUAUGACGUAAUGACUUGCAGGAGCGUAUACAUGCUUCCUCUGAGCUAGCUUAAAGUGGGGUUGUCAUUUUAGCAGGGACCUCAGGAAAACUGGAACAGUGAAGAAACGGUGUGUGGUUACAGACUUUUGUGUGAGGUUUUGAAAGUUAG
This is a long non-coding RNA of Mercenaria mercenaria, 179 nucleotides long. RefSeq lists it as uncharacterized. Lineage: Eukaryota; Metazoa; Mollusca; Bivalvia; Venerida; Veneridae. The transcript has 2 exons. The record is from RefSeq and is a predicted model, not a curated record.